GCGACAGCCAGGAUGUUGGCUUGGAAGCAGCCAUUCAUUUAAAGAGUGCGUAACAGCUCACUGGUCGAGGGUCCGGGCGUGGAUAAUAAUCGGGUAUAAGGCAGACACCGAAGACGCGGGAUAGCAUUAAAAAAAGUAUCGGUAGGGGAGCAUUCCAUCGGCGUUGAAUGCGGCGAGGCGAUUGCCGCUGGAGCCCAUGGAAAAGCAAAUGUAGGUAUAAGUAACGAUAAGGGGGGUAAGAUUCCCCCCCGCCGCAAGACUAAGGUUUCCCGGGCAAUGCCAAUCAUCCCGGGGUCAGUCGGGUCCUAAGGCUCAGCCGAACGGCGAGGCCGAUGGCAGAAAGGGUCAAUAUUCCCUUACUGCCGCACGGAGCGACGCGGAGACGGAGGCGUGACACCACCGCGGAGAUACGGAAUUCUCCGUUGAAGGGCGUAGGCGUUGAGGGCGGCAGGCAAAUCCACCGCCCGAGCCGAACCCCGAAAGUAUGCUUUUCCCCUCGGGGAAAGGCAAUAGCGUGGGUAACCAUACUCCCGAGAAAAUCCGCUAAGCUUCAUCCGUGCGGCACCCGUACCGCAAACGGACACACGUAGUCGGGUAGAACAUACUGAGGCGUUGAGAGAUUCAUGGUUAAGGAACUAGGCAAACUGACCCCGUAACUUCGGGAUAAGGGGUCCUCGUCGCAAGGCGAGGCGCAGAGAAUAGGUCCAGGCAACUGUUUAACAAAAACACAGGGCUGUGCCAACUCGAAAGAUGACGUAUACAGCCUGACACCUGCCCGGUGCCGGAAGGUUAAGAGGAGAGCUCAGAGGCAACUCGAAGGUUUGAAUUGAAGCCCCGGUAAACGGCGGCCGUAACUAUAACGGUCCUAAGGUAGCGAAAUUCCUUGUCGGGUAAGUUCCGACCUGCACGAAUGGUGUAAUGAUCCGGACACUGUCUCAACCAUGAUUCCGGUGAAAUUGUAGUAUCGGUGAAGAUGCCGAUUACCCGCGAUGGGACGAAAAGACCCCGUGAACCUUUACUGCAGCUUAGCAUUGACCUUGGUCAUCCGAUGUGUAGGAUAGGCCGGAGGCUUCGAAGCGGGGGCGCCAGCCCUUGUGGAGCCACCCUUGAAAUACGGCCCUUUGGCUGUCCGAGGUCUAACCCGCUUGUUGCGGGGACACUGCUUGGUGGGCAGUUUGACUGGGGUGGUCGCCUCCAAAAGCGUAACGGAGGCUUCCAAAGGUACCCUCAGGCCGAUUGGUAACCGGCCGUUGAAUGCAAUGGCAUAAGGGUGCUUGACUGCGAGGCCGACAAGCCGAUCAGGUAGGAAACUAGGGCAUAGUGAUCCGGUGGUUCCGUAUGGAAGGGCCAUCGC
Molecule: ribosomal RNA, 1354 nt
Filed under: human metagenome
Description: bacterial LSU rRNA
Rfam family: Bacterial large subunit ribosomal RNA
Source: RNAcentral